This 3639-nucleotide long non-coding RNA is filed under the name Carica papaya (papaya). RNAcentral describes it as "long non-coding RNA (CPAP_LNC015958)". The record is from RNAcentral. Lineage: Eukaryota; Viridiplantae; Streptophyta; Magnoliopsida; Brassicales; Caricaceae.
CCUCCUCCAAAAGAUACAGAAAAUCUUUUUUCACUUUCUCUUGUCUUCAAUAACCAAAAUCGUGCCAUUUUCCACUUGAUUUUGGCUCCAUUUUAUAGCUGAAAUCAUUCACCAACUUUUCUCUGCUCACUGCCUCCUCUAAAAGAUUCUGAAAAUCUUUUCUCUUUCACUUUCUCUUGUCUUCAAUAAUCAUAACACUCUAAACUUCCACCAUUAAAUCCUUCAUUUGUAACACGUAAUGAUGCCAAUCCUUUUUCUCAACAUUCUUCGCUUUUCUCCUCUUGGUUCCUUGGAAACUUCCAUUUAAAGGUUUUUGUUUUUAUUUGUCUUUUUUUUUGUACUCUCAGUGAUCCUUUUUUGUUUUAUUAUAUUUUUUGACUUAGCAUUAAUUUUUUUUCAAAAUUUCUUUUUGUGUUGUUGGGUUGUUAAAAGGGAUUAGAUUUGAUGGGUCAAUGGCGGACAUGGGUGAAGCGAGGAAGAUGGAGAACGGUGAGAUAGUUGUGGAGACAAGCUUUACGCGUACCGUGGGUUGGGAGCAUCAAGGAAGCUUUGGAGGAGUUGAAGCUCAAUCCUCUCCAUCUUCUCAUGGGAUGAUAAGAUUUCGGGUGCACCUCAUUAUGCAUAUAGAGUUGACUGUUGACGGUAAAAUAUGUGGUUUUUCUUUAUCAUUAAUUCUUCUUGAUUUGAUAUCCGUAUCUUAUUGAUUUGUUUUCUAAUGUUUUUGCGUGGUUGAAGGAUAAAGGUCAUCCCUCCUCGCUCGUGCAGCUUGUAGUCAUCCUCAUGCAGCCUGUAUUACUUGCUCUUAUAAAUAAUUUGGUUAUGGUAGAAGAUCAUCGGGCAUCGCACUUCCAAAUCUCUGCCCAUUGUGAGUCUUUAUAAUCCUUUAAUUUUCAGUUUUUGAUUGUAUUUAUUUCUUAUUUGAUCAUUUUUACAUGGUAUUGUAGAAUUAUAUUGCACAUGCUUAAAUUUCGUGAAAGUGGAGGUAGGUAUGGUUCUUUAGAUCUAAUAGAAAGAAAUGAAAAAACUGAUUAUAAUUUCGUAUCAUAGAAAAUCUAAGAAAUUUAGAAACAAAUAAAUCAAAUAAAACGAAACAAAAAAAGAAAAUGACUAUCAAUUUAGAAAUAAUACAAAAAAAUAGAAAGAAAUGAAAAAAAAUGAACUAUCAAUUUUGAAAUUAUCCCAGAAUAAAAAUUUACUAUCAAAUAUGAAAAAAGAAGCCCAUAUAAAGAAAUUUAGAAAUAAUUAAUUUAAUAAGAAAUAAUAAAUAAUUUAUUAAAUUGAAUCCAGAAACAAAAAAAUCAAUCAAAAGAAACAAAAAGAUUUAAACAGAAAUUAAUUUAGAAAUAAGCCCACGUAUAGAAAUCUAGAAAUAAAAAAUAAUUUAGUAAAUUGCAUCCAGAAACAAGAAAUCAUCAAAAUUAAUUUAGAAAAAAACAAAGAAAAAAAUGAAUUAUCAAAUUAGAAAUAAUAUGAGAAAAAAUUGAUUAUCAAAUAUGAAAUAAUAACUAGAAAUAAUAAAUAAUUUUGUAAGAAAUAAUAAGCUAGAAAAAAGAAGAAGCCCAUAUUAAUUUAAGGUUUAGGGUUUAGAUGCUGGGGUCUAAUGGUUCAGGGUUGAGGGUGCAGGUGCACACCUAUAGACUGUUAAUUUUUCUUUUUCUUUUUUGUCAAAUAUCUCCUUUUUGCUGCGUAUAUGUGAUCGUAGUUUUAAUUUAUUUAAAACCAGCAAGAAGUUAUUCUUUCUUUAUUCAAGGUAAAAAGAUGUGGAGAAACAUAAUCAUCAUAUGUUAUUUUAAUCUCUUACUUUAGUACUUUACAUGCCUAGUUUGAGGAGUAAAGUAAUUUGCACGAUAUGUUGAUGCUUAAUCCUAUGAAACUAUUAUAAGGAAAUUUAAGUUGACUAUCAGCAGGAUGAUGCCAGUGAAAUCAAUUGCUCUCUUGUAGAUCUAUUUGGUCCUCACCUUAUAGUUAUAGUGACUGAAAAAUGUGGUUUAUAAUUAUUCUUAUUGAUUUGGUUUUCAAUACUUUUGCGUUGCUCUAGGAGAAUGGUUGUCUCCCCUAUUGUUGCUUGUAGAGGAUCAUCGGGCACAACAGUUUCAAAUCUCUGCCCAUUGUGAGUGUUUUAUAAUUCUUUAUUUUUUUUUUGUUUUUGAAUAUUAUAAAAAAAUCUUGUAUUUAUUUGUUAUUUUAUCAUUUUUACAUCAUAAUCUAAAAUUAUAAUGCACAUGCUUAAAUUUGUUAAAAUUCUUCUAGAUAUCUUGUUAAUUUUGUGAAUAUGGAAGUAGAUAUGGUUCUUUAGAUUUACAUGAAAGAACUGAAAACAUUAAUAGGGGUUAGGGGGUUUAUGGGGUUGGGGGUCGGGGUUUAGGAACUACUUUGCCUCAUAAAUAUUUUCUUUAGUACCUCGAUAAUGUUUUCCUUUAAGAUCAGAACUUCAGAAAUUAUGGUAGCAUGUUGAGUAUUGCUGCUCUCAAGUUCUUCAUUUCUUCUUCCAAGCUGCUGAAGUAUAACAUCUUUCUCGUUGCAUUGAACCAUAUAAAUUAAAUUGAGCAAUAUGAAGCCAGCCAAGUAGUUCCUUUGAAAUACCCAUCAGCACCUCUGCAUCAUUUUCUGCCUAUAAAAACCUAAGACUUGUAGGCACGAGAGAGAUUGAAUUUUAAAAGAAAAAAGAGAGUAUAAGGGUCCAAUUCAUAAUUUGAUUUUAAGCAAGUGAAAAUGAACCAGAUUUGAAGUAUAACAUCGAUAUUACAUCAGCAAUUACAAAUUAUUUAAUUUAUUAGAGUGUCAUGAGAUAAUUGACUAAAAACAAAUUCUAGUUAGAACCUUUAAAAAACCUCACACUCUCUUCUUUCAAAAUAUCCAGAACCUUGUAGAGAAGAUAGAAAGGGAAAAGAGAAGCAGAUUAGAAAUAUAUCAACCGAAAGAAGAAGAAAAAGAUUCAUAAGCGUAGAAAUGGGUAUCUUCAUUCUCUUCUCCAUUUUAUUUUUUCUUUCAGUUUAUAGAGAGAGAGAGAAAAUCUAGAAAUGGGUUCUAAUCCCUGCAGAAAAGGAAUCCCUUGGUUCUCGUAUCAACGCUAUUUUCUUUUGCAAUAUUAUUAAAACCUGCAAGCCCUGUAGAGUGUCAACCCAUAAACUAGUUAUAUUUAUCAUUGAUAUAUUAAAUAAGUUAAUGAUGAAAACAUUGAGUUAACUGAGGAAUGUACAAUAAUAAUAAUGGAAGGUACAAAUGCUUGAAUUUUUAUGAUUUUCGUUAUUAUCCCAUAUCAUGCUGAUAUCAAUGUUAUAGUUGAAGAAAUUUAUUGUUUUUGAAAAAAUACGUACGUGGUUUCUCAUUUAUUUGUUCUUGAUUUGAUCUGCAUUUAGGAAUCUUCAUGCAAACUUGUUUGAUGAGCGCUCGUUUGAUUUUUCAUCGAGCAUUGCAGUUUCAAGUGUCUGCCUUUUGUAAGCUUUCAUAAUCUUUAAAUUUUUAGUUUUUUAAUAUUACUAGAAAUAUGACAUUUAUGAUUUUUACAUCAUAUUCUAUAGCUACACUUUACAUGCUUAAAUUUUGUUAAGAUUUUUCUGAAGAUCUAAAAAAAUUAGAGAAUGUAGAGGUAGAAAUUUAGAGUUAAGAAUUCUAUUAGAUAAAAAUGUAAUAAUUAGG